This 659-nucleotide ribosomal RNA is filed under the name uncultured Desulfosporosinus sp. RNAcentral describes it as "bacterial SSU rRNA". It matches the Rfam family "Bacterial small subunit ribosomal RNA", at positions 37 to 665 of the family's 1533-position model. Lineage: Bacteria; Bacillati; Bacillota; Clostridia; Eubacteriales; Desulfitobacteriaceae. The record is from RNAcentral.
UGGCGGCGUGCGUAACACAUGCAAGUCGAACGGAAAAUUUCAAUAAGAUUACUUAGCGAAAUUUUUAGUGGCGGACGGGUGAGUAACGCGUGGGUAACCUACCCAUAAAUCCGGGACAACCCUUGGAAACGAGGGCUAAUACCGAAUAAUCUUAGAGCUUGGCAUCAAGCUUUAAGGAAAGGUGGCCUCUGAAGAUGCUACCGAUUAUGGAUGGACCCGCGUCUGAUUAGCUAGUUGGUGGGGUAAAGGCCUACCAAGGCGACGAUCAGUAGCCGGCCUGAGAGGGUGAACGGCCACACUGGGACUGAGACACGGCCCAGACUCCUACGGGAGGCAGCAGUGGGGAAUCUUCCGCAAUGGACGAAAGUCUGACGGAGCAACGCCGCGUGUAUGAUGAAGGUCUUCGGAUUGUAAAGUACUGUCUUUGGGGAAGAAUGACUGAUUUGAAAAUAUUGAGUCAGUAUGACGGUACCCAAGGAGGAAGCCCCGGCUAACUACGUGCCAGCAGCCGCGGUAAUACGUAGGGGGCAAGCGUNGUCCGGAAUUAUUGGGCGUAAAGGGCGCGUAGGCGGAUCAUUAAGUCCGGUGUGACAGAUCAGGGCUCAACCCUGAGAGUGCAUCGGAAACUGGGGAUCUUGAGGACAGGAAAGGAAAGUGGA